AAAUGGUACAGCUCUUUUAGAAUUUGUCUAGCAGCUUUUCCAGCUUUUACUGGAACCCC
Molecule: small nuclear RNA, 59 nt
Filed under: Otolemur garnettii (small-eared galago)
Lineage: Eukaryota; Metazoa; Chordata; Mammalia; Primates; Galagidae
Description: U7 small nuclear RNA
Rfam family: U7 small nuclear RNA
About the family: Animal histone pre-mRNAs are spliced by a different mechanism than nuclear pre-mRNAs and self-splicing introns. This processing involves the U7 snRNP, which contains only one RNA species: U7.
Source: Rfam by way of RNAcentral